CUAAUACUCCCUCCGUCCGGAAAUAAUUGUCUUAGAGAUGAAUGUAUCUAGACUUAUUUUAGUUAUAGAUACAUUCAUUAUAUUCAUUUUUAAGACAAGUAUUUUUGGACGGAGGAAGUAUCAC
Molecule: microRNA precursor, 124 nt
Filed under: Hordeum vulgare
Lineage: Eukaryota; Viridiplantae; Streptophyta; Magnoliopsida; Poales; Poaceae
Description: microRNA MIR1122
Rfam family: MIR1120/MIR1122 microRNA precursor family
Source: RNAcentral